UUGCUUAUAACACCUUUUAUUAAUUAACUACACUGUUAUUGGACUUAAUAUGAUGAAAACUGCCUAUGCAAUAUAAUGUGUAAACUGGGCCAAUACAGAAUAACUCGGCCAAUAUAGAUUUUUUUCUGUAUUGGCCGAGUUAUUCUAUAUUGGCCGAGUUGACACAAGUGCAGGAUUUCGGAACGUCUCUAGAUUUUACAUCGAAAGUCACGAUAAACACAAACUGAAAGUAAACAGUUGUUUUGAAGACGCAGUUGUCAUUUAGUUAUCUUAAACAUGCUGAAAAUGUCAGUAUGGCAUACAUUUCAGGCGAAAGACGGUCACAUUCAUUUAAAAGGUAUUUUGAAAGCAGACGAUAGAACUAUUUCAGGUUUGGGGAACGAGUAGAUUAUCACAAAGUUCAUUUCUUGACGACCUCAUAAUUUCACGAUUGUACACAUCGAUUUUAAAUUAGUUUCUGCAUAACACAUGCAAUGGCAGUACCUUUCCAAUUACUAUUUAUGUGUUGCGUCUAAAUUUAAGUUGUAACACUUUAUAGUGACUGAAAAGGGUAGAAAAAAUCAUCAGAUGAGAAAAUGCUGAAGACACCUGGAAACAGCACCAGAGAUC
Molecule: long non-coding RNA, 609 nt
Filed under: Mytilus galloprovincialis (Mediterranean mussel)
Lineage: Eukaryota; Metazoa; Mollusca; Bivalvia; Mytilida; Mytilidae
Source: RNAcentral